RNAcentral lists this ribosomal RNA (440 nucleotides) under uncultured bacterium. RNAcentral's name for it is "partial 16S ribosomal RNA". It matches the Rfam family "Bacterial small subunit ribosomal RNA", at positions 338 to 795 of the family's 1533-position model. The record is from RNAcentral.
CCUACGGGUGGCAGCAGUGGGGAAUAUUUCACAAUGGAGGGAACUCUGAUGCAGCGACGCCGCGUGCGGGAUGAAGGCCUUCGUUAUGUAAAGCUCUAUCAGCAGGGAAGAAAGUGACGGUACCUGAUCAAGAAGCUCCGGCUAAAUACGUGCCAGCAGCCGCGGUCAUACGUAUGGAGCAAGCGUUAUCCGGAUUUACUGGGUGUAAAGUGAGAGAAGGUGGCAAAGCAAGUCCGAGGUGAAAACCCAAAGCUCAACUAUGGGAAUGCUUUAGAAACUGCUAAGCUAGAGUGCAGGAGAGGUAAGUGGAAUUCUUAGUGUAGGGGUGAAAUGCGUAGAUAUUAGGAGGAACACCAGUGGCGAAGGCGGCUUGCUGGAAUGUAACUGACACUGAGGCGCGAAAGCGUGGGGAGCAAACAGGAUUAGAUACCCUUGUAGUC